UUGAGUUUUACUGGCUCAGGAUGAACGCUGGCGGCGUGCCUAAUACAUGCAAGUCGAGCGAACAGAUAAGGAGCUUGCUCCUUUGACGUUAGCGGCGGACGGGUGAGUAACACGUGGAUAACCUACCUAUAAGACUGGGAUAACUUCGGGAAACCGGAGCUAAUACCGGAUAACAUAUUGAACCGCAUGGUUCAAUAGUGAAAGGCGGCUUUGCUGUCACUUAUAGAUGGAUCCGCGCCGUAUUAGCUAGUUGGUAAGGUAACGGCUUACCAAGGCAACGAUACGUAGCCGACCUGAGAGGGUGAUCGGCCACACUGGAACUGAGACACGGUCCAGACUCCUACGGGAGGCAGCAGUAGGGAAUCUUCCGCAAUGGGCGAAAGCCUGACGGAGCAACGCCGCGUGAGUGAUGAAGGUCUUCGGAUCGUAAAACUCUGUUAUCAGGGAAGAACAAAUGUGUAAGUAACUGUGCACAUCUGACGCCUUCGAAAGCC
Molecule: ribosomal RNA, 494 nt
Filed under: Staphylococcus pasteuri
Lineage: Bacteria; Bacillati; Bacillota; Bacilli; Caryophanales; Staphylococcaceae
Description: bacterial SSU rRNA
Rfam family: Bacterial small subunit ribosomal RNA
Source: RNAcentral